This 719-nucleotide ribosomal RNA is filed under the name uncultured bacterium. Its description in RNAcentral is "bacterial SSU rRNA". It matches the Rfam family "Bacterial small subunit ribosomal RNA", at positions 592 to 1312 of the family's 1533-position model. The record is from RNAcentral.
AAGUUAAAGGCUGUGGCUUAACCAUAGUACGCUUNGGAAACUGUUUAACUUGAGUNCAAGAGGGGAGAGUGGAAUUCCAUGUGUAGCGGUGAAAUGCGUAGAUAUAUGGAGGAACACCGGUGGCGAAAGCGGCUCUCUGGCUNGUAACUGACGCUGAGGCUCGAAAGCGUGGGGAGCAANCAGGAUUAGAUACCCUGGUAGUCCACGCCGUAAACGAUGAGUGCUAGGUGUUAGACCCUUUCCGGGGUUUAGUGCCGCAGCUAACGCAUUAAGCACUCCGCCUGGGGAGUACGACCGCAAGGUUGAAACUCAAAGGAAUUGACGGGGGCCCGCACAAGCGGUGGAGCAUGUGGUUUAGUUCGAAGCAACGCGAAGAACCUUACCAGGUCUUGACAUCCCUCUGACCGCUCUAGAGAUAGAGGUUUCCUUCGGGACAGAGGUGACAGGUGGUGCAUGGUUGUCGUCAGCUCGUGUCGUGAGAUGUUGGGUUAAGUCCCGCAACGAGCGCAACCCCUAUUGUUAGUUGCCAUCAUUUAGUUGGGCAUUCUAGCGAGACUGCCGGUAAUAAACCGGAGGAAGGUGGGGAUGACGUCAAAUCAUCAUGCCCCUUAUGACCUGGGCUACACACGUGCUACAAUGGCUGGUACAACGAGUCGCAAGCCGGUGACGGCAAGCUAAACUCUUAAAGCCAAUCUCAGUUCGGAUUGUAGGCUGCAACU